GUGGAUUAGAUACCCUGGUAGUCCACGCCCUAAACGAUGUCGACUAGUUGUUGGGGGUUGAAAUCCCUGGUAACGCAGCUAACGCGUGAAGUCGACCGCCUGGGGAGUACGGCCGCAAGGUUAAAACUCAAAGGAAUUGACGGGGGCCCGCACAAGCGGUGGAUGAUGUGGAUUAAUUCGAUGCAACGCGAAGAACCUUACCUAGCCUUGACAUGUGCGGAACCUUGCAGAAACGCGAGGGUGCCCGAAAGGGAACCGCAACACAGGUGCUGCACGGUCGUCGUCAACU
RNAcentral lists this ribosomal RNA (289 nucleotides) under uncultured bacterium. RNAcentral describes it as "partial 16S ribosomal RNA". It matches the Rfam family "Bacterial small subunit ribosomal RNA", at positions 773 to 1060 of the family's 1533-position model. The record is from RNAcentral.